Molecule: ribosomal RNA, 496 nt
Filed under: uncultured bacterium
Lineage: Bacteria
Description: partial 16S ribosomal RNA
Rfam family: Bacterial small subunit ribosomal RNA
Source: RNAcentral
ACGAACGCUGGCGGCGUGCCUAAUACAUGCAAGUCGAGCGCACGGACGAGAAGCUUGCUUCUCUGAUGUUAGCGGCGGACGGGUGAGUAACACGUGGAUAACCUACCUAUAAGACUGGGAUAACUUCGGGAAACCGGAGCUAAUACCGGAUAAUAUUUUGAACCGCAUGGUUCAAAAGUGAAAGACGGUCUUGCUGUCACUUAUAGAUGGAUCCGCGCUGCAUUAGCUAGUUGGUAAGGUAACGGCUUACCAAGGCAACGAUGCAUAGCCGACCUGAGAGGGUGAUCGGCCACACUGGAACUGAGACACGGUCCAGACUCCUACGGGAGGCAGCAGUAGGGAAUCUUCCGCAAUGGGCGAAAGCCUGACGGAGCAACGCCGCGUGAGUGAUGAAGGUCUUCGGAUCGUAAAACUCUGUUAUUAGGGAAGAACAUAUGUGUAAGUAACUGUGCACAUCUUGACGGUACCUAAUCAGAAAGCCACGGCUAACUACGUG